GCUAUGAUCAUGCCUCCAGAGGCUGAGGUGGGAGGAUGACUUGAGCCUGGGAGGUCCAGGCUGCAGUGAGCUAUAAUCAUGCCACUGCACUCCAGCCUGGACAACAGAGCAAGACUCUGUCUCAAAAUAACAACAACAAAAAAAGAGGCAGCAUAGACUUCAGAAAGGUGGGUCUGGGAAAAAUGAAUCAUAUACCUCUCCAGUGGUCUCAGACACCCCAACAUAGAUACCAUCAGAUCCCCUAAACACAGGCACCCAGGCAGGUGCCAUCAGAUACCCAAAACAGGCUUCCAGGUAACCCCCAAAUAUGUCAGACACUCCACAUAGGUCCAGCAGAUACCCCCAAACACAUACUAGAUAACCCCAAUACAGAUGCUGUCAGAUACCCUCAAACAGGUGCUCAGAGUCUGAAACACAUACCAUACCCUCCCCUAUCCACUUCCACACAGGUGCUAUUUGGCAGAUGUGGAUAGGCCAGAUGCUUCCCCCAGCACCAGCAACCUCUCAAUUGCCAUCAGACACCCCAGUCUUGAGGUUGCCUGUCUAAUCCAAGUCCUGCCACAGGGGAGGCAGUUGAACAGUAACCAGGAGUCGAGCAGAACAGCUCUCACCAAGGUUGGCUGGUCAGCCAGGCCUAGAAGAUCUCCCCAUGGCCAGGCAAGACGGCUCAUGCCUGUAAUCCUAACACUUUGGGAGUCUGAGGAGGGAGGAUCACUUGAGUCCAGGAGCUUUGAGAUCAGCCUGGGAAACCUCGCAUGACCCAGUCUCUAUUUUAGAAAAAAAGAUUUCCCCAAACCCAAUCACUUCAAAACAUGCACAAUAUGUUGUUGAGAGUCCCCAGUUCAGAAGCUGGAGGGUUGCGUCCCCAGGUGGACUAGCCUUCAGUUCAAGUCCAACCUUCAUGGUCCAGAGGAAGGGAGCAUGUUCAGGGAAUUGGAUGUCCCAGAAAUGCAAGACGUAAUUCACCAGGCACCCUACUGCAGCUGAGGUCAGAAACUCUAACACGGGAGUUUAUGAGGGCUCAAUGGUUGGGCAGCUGUGUAGCUGUGGCUUAUGGACUUAGGGGCAUGAACCUUAUUUUUUUUCCUUUUUUUUUUUUUUUUUUUUUUUUUGAGACAGGAUCUCACUCUGUCACUUAGGCUGGAAGUGCAGUGGCACAAUCAUAGCUCAUUGCAGCUUCCAUCUCCUGGGCUCAAGUUGUCCUCCCACCUCAGCCUCCCAAGUAGCUGGGACCACAGGCACACACCACCACGUCUGGCUAAUUUUUUUGUAGAGACAGAGUUUCGCCAUGUUGCCUAGAUUGGUCUCGAACUCCUGAGCUCAAGUGAUCUGCCCGCCUGGGCCUCCUAUGAUGCCAGGAUUGUAGGUGUGAGCCAUCAUGCCCGGCCUUUGAACCUUAUUUCUUUCUUUCUCUUUUUCUUUCUUUUUUUUUUUUUUUCUUUCUUGAGACAGAGUCUCACUCUGUCACCCAGGCUGCAGUGUAGUGGUACCAUCUAGGCUCACUGCAGCCUCCACCUCCUGGGUUCAAGUGAUCCUCCUGCCUCAGCCUCCCGAGUGCUGGAAUUACAGGUAUGCACCACCAAGCCUGGCUAAUUUUUGUGUUUUUUUUUUGUUUUUUUUUCAGUAGAGUCAGGGUUUCACCAUGUUGGCCAGACUGGUCUUGAACUCCUGACCUCAAGUGAUCCUCCCACCCUGGCCUCCCAAAGUGCUGGGAUUACAGGCGUGAGCCACUGGGUCUGGCCAUCAGCCUUAUUUCUAUAGCUAUCUUGGUUAUAGGAAACUUCAGGUGGACACAGCCCUCCCCUAAACAUAGAAACCAACUUUCUCAGAGACAACUAGGAAGGAGAAACAUCUCCCAUCUUUCUUUUAUCCAUCCAACCAUUCUGCAUUUAUGAGUCUUUUUUUUUUUUUUUUUUUUUGAGACGGAGUCUCACUCUGUUGCCCAAGCUGGAGUGCAGUGGUGCCAUCUUGGCUCACUGCAAACUCCACCUCCCAGAUUGAAGCAAUUCUCCUGCCUCAGCCUCCCGAGUAGCUGGGAUUGCAGGCACCCGCCACUACAUCUGGCUAAUUUUUGUAUUUUUUGUAGAGAUGGGGUUUUACCAUGUUGGCCAGGCUGGUCUUGAACUCCUGACCUUAGGUGAUCUGCCUGCCUCAGCCUCCCAAAGUGCUGGGAUUACAGGCGUGAGCCACCACACCUGGCCUCAUUUAUGAGUCUUUAGCAUGGACCAGGGGCGCUAGGAGCUAAGGAGAUGCAAGGAGCUUAGGCCCAGAGCAGGGUUUUCUCAGCUUGGCACUUUCGACAAUUAGGGCUGGAUAAUUCUCGGUGGUGGUGGCAGGGGUGGUCUCCUAUGCACUGGAGGGUGUUGAGCGGCAUCCCUGGUCUCUACCUCCUAGAUGCCAGUGGCUCCCCUGGUCCUGAAAAAAAUGCCUCCAGAUGUUUCCUUGGCUGAGAGCAACUGGCCUAAGAGACAUUCAGACACUUAUCCAGCCUAAUUCCGACUUCCUGGAGGAAGUGGGCCUGGGCUUUGUCUUAAAAGGAUGAGUAAGAGUUAGGUGGGAGAGGGAGUUCCAGGAACAGCGCUGGAUGAGCAAGGCACAGCGUAUGUGUAUGACGUGUAUGAACAGCCAUGAGACUUCAGGGUGACUGGGCCGUGGAGUCCGGAGAACCUGAGUAGUGGGAGAGAAGCGUGGAGGGAUAGGUGGGGUUGAAUUAUAAACAGCCUCAAAGGUCAAGGCCAGGAACAGGACUGUCUGGCGUGGUGUCUGUUCUCUGAAAAGCAUCCCAACUUUAUCGUGGAGACCCACCUUCUCUAAUUACCUGGAGUAUGACUCAUUCUCUGUUCUGUUUGUUUAACUUACUGUGAGGCUGUUUCCUCCGUCUGUCCCACGGACGGGAGGAAACGGGACAGACUGUCACGUUGACUUUGAAUACCUUUAAAAGCAGGUAGGCCUGUGGGGAGUUAUACCUUGGGAGGACUUUUCUCAGCCUGCUGGGAAUGAGACAUGGGUGUUUUGGCCCCUUCAUGCCUCCUGACACAGCUUUGCAGAGGCAAGCGUCUAUGAUUUAAAUGCUAGCUUUGCCGCUUACUGGCUGAAAGACUUUAAAUGACAAUAACAAAAAAUGAAGAGGAUGAUGAUGAUGAUACAAGAUACCAUUGCCCGUGUGUACCAGACAUCAUGCUAAGUGAGUGCUACCCACAUCAUUUUUCUUUCUUUUCUUUUCUUUUCUUUUUUCUUUUUUUUUUUUUUUUGAUACAGAGUCUCGCUCUGUCACCCAGGCUGAAGUGCAGUGGCGCAAUCUUGCCUCACUGCAACCUCCACCUCUUGGGUUCAAGGGAUCCUCCCACCUGAGCCUCCUGAGUAACUGCGAUUACAGGCAUGUGCCACCAUGCCCCGCUAAUUGUUUUGUGUUUUUAAUGGAGAUGGGGUCUUACCAUGUUGGCCAGGCUGGUCUCAAACUCCUGACCUCAAGUGAUCCUCCCACCUUGGUCUCCCAAAGUGCUGGGAUUACAGGUGUAAGCCACCACGCCCAGCCUUUACCCACAUUAUUUCUUUUUUCUUUUUAGGAACAGGGUCUUGCUCUGUGGCACAGGCUAGAGGGCAGUGGCAAAUCAUAGCUAACUGUAGCUUUGAACACCUGGGCUCAAGCAAUGCUGCCACCUCAGCCUCCCGAGUAGCUAGGAUUAUAGGCGAGUGCCACCACACCUGGCUAACUUUUAAACAUUUUUUUUGUAGAGACGAGGGUCUCACUAUAUUGCCCAGACUCCUGAACUCAAGGGAUCCUCCUGCCUCAGCCUCCCAAAGCGCUGAGAUUACAGGAGUGAGCUUCCGCGCCCGGCCCCACAUCAUUUCUUUCACACAAACUCAAAUCUUUCUUGACCUCAAAGGGUUGUCCUGCAAAUCAAAAUCAAAUGAUGUCUCCAGGAGAAAGAGCUUAAUUCCCACCACCCUGAGAGUGGGCUGGAUGUCACGACUCGUGGGCGGAUCGCUUGAGGCCAGGAGUUCGAGACCAGCCUGGCCAACACGGCGAAACCCUGUCUCUACUAAAAAUACAAAAAAUUAGCCAGGCAUGGUGGCAUACGCCUGUAAUCCCAGCUACUCGGGAGGCUGAGACAGGAGAGUAGCUUGAACCCAGGAGGUGGAGGUUGCAGUGAGCCAAGAUUGUGCCACUGCACUCCAGCCUGGGUGACACAGCAAGACUCCAUCUCAAAAAAAAAAAAAUAAGUAAAUAAGAAAGAAAGAAAGGAAGGAAGGAAGGAAGGGAGGAAGGAAGAAGGAAGGAAGGAAGGAAGAAAAUGUAGGGUGGAUGCAGUGGCUCACACCUGUAAUCCCAGCACUUUGGGAGGCUGAGGUGGGUGGAUCGCUUGAGCCCAGGAGUUCAAGACCAACUUGGGCAAUGUGACAAAACCCUGUUUCUACAAAAAAAAAAAAAAAAAAAAAAAUUAUCCUGGUAUGAUGGCAUGCACUUCUAGUCCCAGCUACUUGGGAGGCUAGGGUGGGAGGAUUGCUUGAGCCCAGGAGGCAGAGGUUGUAGUGAACCAAGAUCACGCCACUGCACCCCAGCCUGGGCAACAGAGCGAGACUCUGUCUCAAAAAAAAAAAAAAAAUUAGCCUGGUGUGGUGCUACGAGACUGUAGUCCCUGCUACUCGGGAGGCUGAAGUGGGAGGAUCUCUUGAGCCCAAGAAGUCGAGGCUGCAGUAAGCUGUGAUCGUGCCACCGCACUCCAGCC
RNAcentral lists this long non-coding RNA (4730 nucleotides) under Homo sapiens (human). Its description in RNAcentral is "HSALNT0255200". Lineage: Eukaryota; Metazoa; Chordata; Mammalia; Primates; Hominidae. The record is from RNAcentral.